This 231-nucleotide ribosomal RNA is filed under the name uncultured bacterium. RNAcentral's name for it is "partial 16S ribosomal RNA". It matches the Rfam family "Bacterial small subunit ribosomal RNA", at positions 103 to 334 of the family's 1533-position model. The record is from RNAcentral.
CGGAUGAGUAACACGUAUCCAACCUGCCGUCUACUCUUGGACAGCCUUCUGAAAGGAAGAUUAAUACAAGAUGGCAUCAUGAGUUCACAUGUUCACAUGAUUAAAGGUAUUCCGGUAGACGAUGGGGAUGCGUUCCAUUAGAUAGUAGGCGGGGUAACGGCCCACCUAGUCUUCGAUGGAUAGGGGUUCUGAGAGGAAGGUCCCCCACAUUGGAACUGAGACACGGUCCAA